RNAcentral lists this ribosomal RNA (286 nucleotides) under uncultured bacterium. RNAcentral's name for it is "partial 16S ribosomal RNA". It matches the Rfam family "Bacterial small subunit ribosomal RNA", at positions 335 to 614 of the family's 1533-position model. The record is from RNAcentral.
ACUCCUACGGGAGGCAGCAGUGGGGAAUAUUGCACAAUGGGGGAAACCCUGAUGCAGCCAUGCCGCGUGUGUGAAGAAGGCCUUCGGGUUGUAAAGCACUUUCAGUAGGGAGGAAGGUAGUGUAGUUAACACCUGCACUAUUUGACGUUACCUACAGAAGAAGCACCGGCUAACUCCGUGCCAGCCAGCGCGGUAAUACGGAGGGUGCAGCGUUAAUCGGAAUUACUGGGCGUAAAGCGCAUGCAGGCGGCCUUGUUAAGUCAGAUGUGAAAGCCCGGGCUAAGCC